Magnolia sinica is the source of this 331-nucleotide long non-coding RNA. RefSeq lists it as uncharacterized. The transcript is spliced from 2 exons. Lineage: Eukaryota; Viridiplantae; Streptophyta; Magnoliopsida; Magnoliales; Magnoliaceae. The record is from RefSeq and is a predicted model, not a curated record.
AUGAAAAACAUGUAUAUGUCUCGUAAUAGACCAUUAUGGGGCUAUUAUGGCCUUUAUAGGAGACGUAACGUGCCGUUAAUGGCAAUUACAGGUCAUUUUUUCCAUAACGGCUGUUACAGCCUUUACAACCCCGUAACGCCCUUUACGGCACACCAUGAUCGUUGGAGAUAUUAUUGAUUUUCAAAAGAUAUGGGGGAGGAAUUAAAAGAUAUUUUGGUCAUUGAUAAUAUGUCUUAAAAUACACAGUUAGGAUUAGAGGAUAUGUAUGGUUAGAAUUAUAUUAAAGUGUCCCUUGCUUAAGAAAUAAGUAUACCAUGCAAAAAUAAAUAAA